AGAGUUUGAUCCUGGCUCAGAGUGAACGCUGGCGGCAGGCCUAACACAUGCAAGUCGAGCGGCAGCACAGUCGUAGCAAUACGAUGGGUGGCGAGCGGCGGACGGGUGAGGAACACAUCGGAAUCUACCCUGUCGUGGGGGACAACGUAGGGAAACUUACGCUAAUACCGCAUACGACCUUUGGGUGAAAGUGGGGGACCCGCAAGGGCCUCACGCGAUUGGAUGAGCCGAUGUCCGAUUAGCUAGUUGGCGGGGUAAUGGCCCACCAAGGCGACGAUCGGUAGCUGGUCUGAGAGGACGACCAGCCACACUGGAACUGAGACACGGUCCAGACUCCUACGGGAGGCAGCAGUGGGGAAUAUUGGACAAUGGGGGCAACCCUGAUCCAGCCAUGCCGCGUGGGUGAAGAAGGCCUUCGGGUUGUAAAGCCCUUUUGUACGGGAAGAAAAGCUGCCGGUGAAUAUCCGGUGGUCAUGACGGUACCGUAAGAAUAAGCACCGGCUAACUUCGUGCCAGCAGCCGCGGUAAUACGAAGGGUGCAAGCGUUACUCGGAAUUACUGGGCGUAAAGCGUGCGUAGGUGGUGAGUUAAGUCUGAUGUGAAAUCCCCGGGCUCAACCUGGGAAUGGCAUUGGAUACUGGCUCGCUAGAGUGCGGUAGAGGGUGGUGGAAUUCCCGGUGUAGCAGUGAAAUGCGUAGAGAUCGGGAGGAACAUCUGUGGCGAAAGCGGCCACCUGGACCAACACUGACACUGAGGCACG
Molecule: ribosomal RNA, 760 nt
Filed under: uncultured Gammaproteobacteria bacterium
Lineage: Bacteria; Pseudomonadati; Pseudomonadota; Gammaproteobacteria
Description: bacterial SSU rRNA
Rfam family: Bacterial small subunit ribosomal RNA
Source: RNAcentral